This 504-nucleotide ribosomal RNA is filed under the name uncultured bacterium. RNAcentral describes it as "bacterial SSU rRNA". It matches the Rfam family "Bacterial small subunit ribosomal RNA", at positions 38 to 507 of the family's 1533-position model. The record is from RNAcentral.
GGCGGCGUGCCUAAUACAUGCAAGUCGAACGCAUCCCGCUGAAUUGAAGUGCUUGCACUGAUUUUCAGCAUUGGAUGAGUGGCGAACUGGUGAGUAACACGUGGGUAACCUGCCCAGAAGCGGGGGAUAACACUUGGAAACAGGUGCUAAUACCGCAUAACAACUGAAACCGCAUGGUUUCAGUUUGAAAGAUGGUUUCGGCUAUCACUUCUGGAUGGACCCGCGGCGUAUUAGCUAGUUGGUGGAGUAAUGGUUCACCAAGGCAAUGAUACGUAGCCGACCUGAGAGGGUAAUCGGCCACAUUGGGACUGAGAUACGGCCCAAACUCCUACGGGAGGCAGCAGUAGGGAAUCUUCCACAAUGGACGAAAGUCUGAUGGAGCAACGCCGCGUGAGUGAAGAAGGGUUUCGGCUCGUAAAACUCCGUUGUUGAAGAAGAACACAUCUGAGAGUAACUGUUCAGGUGUUGACGGUAUUUAACCAGAAAGCCACGGCUAACUACGUG